AGUGAACGCUGGCGGUAGGCCUAACACAUGCAAGUCGAACGGCAGCACAGUAAGAGCUUGCUCUUACGGGUGGCGAGUGGCGGACGGGUGAGGAAUACAUCGGAAUCUACUUUUUCGUGGGGGAUAACGUAGGGAAACUUACGCUAAUACCGCAUACGUCCUACGGGUGAAAGCAGGGGAUCUUCUGACCUUGCGCGAUUGUAUGAGCCGAUGUCGGAUUAGCUAGUUGGCGGGGUAAAGGCCCACCAAGGCGACGAUCCGUAGCUGGUCUGAGAGGAUGGUCAGCCACACUGGAACUGAGACAGGGUCCAGACUCCUACGGGAGGAAGCAGUGGGGAAUAUUGGACAAGGGGCGAAAGCCUGAUCCAGCCAUACCGCGUGGGUGAAGAAGGCCUUCGGGUUGUAAAGCCCUUUUGUUGGGAAAGAAAAGCAGCAGGUUAAUACCCCGCUGUUCUGACGGUACCCAAAGAAUAAGCACCGGCUAACUUCGUG
RNAcentral lists this ribosomal RNA (492 nucleotides) under uncultured bacterium. RNAcentral describes it as "partial 16S ribosomal RNA". It matches the Rfam family "Bacterial small subunit ribosomal RNA", at positions 29 to 507 of the family's 1533-position model. The record is from RNAcentral.